Molecule: ribosomal RNA, 495 nt
Filed under: Nymphon australe
Lineage: Eukaryota; Metazoa; Arthropoda; Pycnogonida; Pantopoda; Nymphonidae
Description: partial 16S ribosomal RNA
Rfam family: Bacterial large subunit ribosomal RNA
Source: RNAcentral
CAAAAACAUAGCUUUUUGGUGAAAGUAAAAAGUAGGGUCUGCCCGGUGAGUAAUUUUAACGGCCGCAAUAUUUGUGCUAAGGUAGCAUAAUAAUUUGUCUUUUAAUUGAUGACUAGAAUGAAGGGUUGGACGGGGAAUAGCUGUCUUAAAUAUUUUUAUUUUAAAUUUACUUUCAAGUAAAAAGGCUUGAAUUUUUUAGUGGGACGAGAAGACCCUAUAGAGUUUUAUAAAAUUUAUUUAAAUUUUUCUUAAAUUUUUUUAUUAAUUAUUUGGUUGGGGUGAUUAAUUAAUAAGAUCUAUUUUAGAAUUAAUAGACUUUAAGUUUUUAGGAUCCAUAUUUUAUGAGUGUUAAGGUAAAUUACCUUAGGGAUAACAGCGUAAUAUUUUUUUAGAGUUCUUAUCGAUGAAAGUGAUUUCGACCUCGAUGUUGGAUUAAGGAACUUAAUUUAGAGAAGAUUUUAAUUUAAGUAGUCUGUUCGACUAUUAAAUCUUUAC